RNAcentral lists this unclassified non-coding RNA (352 nucleotides) under soil metagenome. Its description in RNAcentral is "partial contains 5.8S ribosomal RNA, internal transcribed spacer 2, and large subunit ribosomal RNA". The stretch from base 1 to 120 matches the Rfam family "5.8S ribosomal RNA", at positions 35 to 154 of the family's 154-position model. The record is from RNAcentral.
GAUGAAGAACGUAGCGAAAUGCGAUAAGUAAUGCGAAUUGCAGAAUCCGUGAGUCAUCGAAUCUUUGAACGCACAUUGCGCCCCUUGGUUAUUCCGAAGGGCAUGCCUGUUCGAGCGUCAUUAUCACCCCUCAAGCCCCGGCUUGGUGUUGGAUUAGUUAUAGCUUUGCCUAUCAACUGGUCUCAAAGAUAGUGACGGCGCCCCAGAGGGAACCGGGUACGAGGAGCUUCUUGUUAAGCAUGUGCCUGGGACGACUCUGAUGGGCGACGGUCUUGUUAUACUUUUACCUAAGUGUUGACCUCGGAUCAGGUAGGAAUACCCGCUGAACUUAAGCAUAUCAAUAAGCGGAGGA